GACGAACGCUGGCGGCGUGCCUAAUACAUGCAAGUAGAACGCACAGUUUAUACCGUAGCUUGCUACACCAUAGACUGUGAGUUGCGAACGGGUGAGUAACGCGUAGGUAACCUGCCUGGUAGCGGGGGAUAACUAUUGGAAACGAUAGCUAAUACCGCAUAAUAUUAAUUAUUGCAUGAUAAUUAAUUGAAAGGUGCAAUUGCACCACUACCAGAUGGACCUGCGUUGUAUUAGCUAGUAGGUGAGGUAACGGCUCACCUAGGCGACGAUACAUAGCCGACCUGAGAGGGGGAUCGGCCAAACUGGGACUGAGACACGGCCCAGACUCCUACGGGAGGCAGCAGUAGGGAAUCUUCGGCAAUGGACGAAAGUCUGACCGAGCAACGCCGCGUGAGUGAAGAAGGUUUUCGGAUCGUAAAGCUCUGUUGUAAGAGAAGAACGGGUGUGAGAGUGGAAAGUUCACACUGUGACGGUAUCUUACCAGAAAGGGACGGCUAACUACGUG
This 505-nucleotide ribosomal RNA is filed under the name uncultured bacterium. RNAcentral describes it as "partial 16S ribosomal RNA". It matches the Rfam family "Bacterial small subunit ribosomal RNA", at positions 28 to 507 of the family's 1533-position model. The record is from RNAcentral.